AGAGUUUGAUCCUGGCUCAGGAUGAAACGCUGGCGGCGUGCUUAACACAUGCAAGUCGAACGAAGCACCUUAACUUGAUUUUCUUCGGAAUUGAUUGUUCUGUGACUGAGUGGCGGACGGGUGAGUAACGCGUGGGUAACCUGCCUCACACAGGGGGACAACAGCUGGAAACGGCUGCUAAUACCGCAUAAGCGCACAGCUUCGCAUGAAGCAGUGUGAAAAACUCCGGUGGUGUGAGAUGGACCCGCGUCUGAUUAGCUAGUUGGUGAGGUAACGGCCCACCAAGGCGACGAUCAGUAGCCGACCUGAGAGGGUGACCGGCCACAUUGGGACUGAGACACGGCCCAAACUCCUACGGGAGGCAGCAGUGGGGAAUAUUGCACAAUGGGCGAAAGCCUGAUGCAGCGACGCCGCGUGAGCGAAGAAGUAUUUCGGUAUGUAAAGCUCUAUCAGCAGGGAAGAAAAUGACGGUACCUGACUAAGAAGCUCCGGCUAAAUACGUGCCAGCAGCCGCG
RNAcentral lists this ribosomal RNA (515 nucleotides) under uncultured bacterium. RNAcentral describes it as "bacterial SSU rRNA". It matches the Rfam family "Bacterial small subunit ribosomal RNA", at positions 8 to 519 of the family's 1533-position model. The record is from RNAcentral.